AGCUCUAAGAAAUAUUCAUUUAGAGUGGAAUCUGCCCAGUGUUUAUUGUUUAUUAACGGCCGCGGUACCUUGACCGUGCUAAGGUAGCAUAAUAAAUUGAUUUUUAAAUGAGGUCUGGAAUGAACGGGUGAACGGGAUUAAGCUGUCUCAUAAACUUUUUUUUGAAUUUACUAAUCAGGUGAAAAGGCCUGAAAAAUGAAAAAAGACGAGAAGACCCUUAGAAUUUUGACGGAUUUUUUUGUUGGGGCGACAUGGAGACAUAUUUUAACUCUCCAAGAACUUGCCGAUAUGUUUAUAAGAGUGAAUAAAUUACCUGAGGGAUAACAGCAUAAUCUUUUAAAUAGGUUUGUGACCUCGAUGUUGGACUAGGAAGCUGAAAGGUUAGCCGCCUUAUCAGAGGGUUCUGUUCGAACUUUUACUCCU
This 423-nucleotide ribosomal RNA is filed under the name Cylichnium mucronatum. RNAcentral describes it as "partial 16S large subunit ribosomal RNA". It matches the Rfam family "Bacterial large subunit ribosomal RNA", at positions 1828 to 2596 of the family's 2925-position model. The record is from RNAcentral. Lineage: Eukaryota; Metazoa; Mollusca; Gastropoda; Cephalaspidea.